This 253-nucleotide ribosomal RNA is filed under the name uncultured bacterium. RNAcentral's name for it is "partial 16S ribosomal RNA". It matches the Rfam family "Bacterial small subunit ribosomal RNA", at positions 524 to 776 of the family's 1533-position model. The record is from RNAcentral.
GACGAACCGUCCGAACGUUAUUCGGGAUCACUGGGCUUAAAGGGUUCGUCGGCGGCGCGGAAAGUUGGGUGUGAAAUCCCUCGGCUCAACCGAGGAACUGCGCCCAAAACUACCGUGCUCGAGGGAGAUAGAGGUGAGCGGAACUUAGGGUGGAGCGGUGAAAUGCGUUGAUAUCCUAAGGAACACCGGUGGCGAAAGCGGCUCACUGGAUCUCUUCUGACGCUGAGGCACGAAAGCUAGGGUAGCGAACGGG